CUCCGGUUAACCGGAUGGGAGGAGUCCGUCCGGCCGGAGAUAAAAGGAAGACGGACCGGUUCCAUCUUUCACUUCCUUCUCUCCUCUGGUCGAGAUGGAGAAAGAACCAGGAAGUGUUUGCUGCACAGGUGGCAGGAGACUGUGGCAAGACUCCAUGCGGGACCCAUCCAGGGUGGGCCGGCUAAGUCUUCGUAGCAGCUGGAAAGCCCAUUGGGGUGUGUGAUCUAACUGAGGAAGGAUGCUCCUUCAGCGCCUCAUCAUUUGACCUCUACUUAGAGCAACGUUCUCUUGCAGAAAAACCUUGGAUUGGAAACGUGGAGAGGAGUCGCAAUGAAGUCUUUCGAUGAUUCGUUGACGCUUCAGCAUCAAGAUUGGUGUGUUCCCAUUGACGGUUCUGAUGAAGAAAGUUCCCUCAUUGAGCCAGGUGAGUGU
This is a long non-coding RNA of Hippoglossus stenolepis (Pacific halibut), 432 nucleotides long. RefSeq lists it as uncharacterized. The transcript has 8 exons. The record is from RefSeq and is a predicted model, not a curated record. Lineage: Eukaryota; Metazoa; Chordata; Actinopteri; Pleuronectiformes; Pleuronectidae.